RNAcentral lists this ribosomal RNA (474 nucleotides) under Quillonota cangrejae. RNAcentral's name for it is "eukaryotic LSU rRNA". The record is from RNAcentral. Lineage: Eukaryota; Metazoa; Arthropoda; Insecta; Hymenoptera; Ichneumonidae.
CCUGAGAAACCCGAAAGAUCGAACGGGGAGAUUCAUCGUCAGCGAUUCUGGUACGUGCGCGGUUGCGAUGCCGCCGGAUCUCGGUCCGGUGACACGCGUCCGCGCAUGUUUCAAUUGCCAGUUGUCGCCGGCGUGCACUUCUCCCCUAGUAGGACGUCGCGACCCGUUGGGUGUCGGUCUACGGCCCGUACGGUAGACUGUCGUGCGUCGCGCCACGUGCCGACAUGCGGCAGACCUUCGGUCGCCCGUCCGGCUGCCCGGCGGUACUCGCACGGUAUCGAGCCGCAAAUAUUCGAACUGCGUCCGGCCCGCCGCAAGCGAGGUCAGUGUUUCCCGGAUGUGCGGAACUAGCGCCGUCACCGGGCCUGGCCGGCUGUUGGUCGGCGGUGUCCUGGGACUGGCUCAAUCAAAUUAUGAUACCGGUCGGCGACGCUACUGCUUUGGGUACUUUCAGGACCCGUCUUGAAACACGGA